Molecule: transfer RNA, 71 nt
Filed under: Elusimicrobiota bacterium
Lineage: Bacteria; Pseudomonadati; Elusimicrobiota
Description: Elusimicrobia bacterium (groundwater metagenome) tRNA-Gly
Rfam family: tRNA
About the family: Transfer RNA (tRNA) molecules are approximately 80 nucleotides in length.
Source: RNAcentral
GCGGGCGUGGUUCAAUGGUAGAACGGGACCUUGCCAAGGUUCAGACGAGGGUUCGAUUCCCUUCGCCCNNA